This 253-nucleotide ribosomal RNA is filed under the name uncultured bacterium. RNAcentral describes it as "partial 16S ribosomal RNA". It matches the Rfam family "Bacterial small subunit ribosomal RNA", at positions 524 to 776 of the family's 1533-position model. The record is from RNAcentral.
UACGAAGGGUGCAAGCGUUACUCGGAAUUACUGGGCAUAAAGCGUGCGUAGGUGGUUCGUUAAGUCUGAUGUGAAAGCCCUGGGCUCAACCUGGGAAUGGCAUUGGAAACUGGCGACCUAGAGUGCGGUAGAGGGUAGUGGAAUUCCCGGUGUAGCAGUGAAAUGCGUAGAGAUCCGGAGGAACACCAGAGGCGAAGGCGGCCUACUGGGCUGCACCUGACGCUGAGCCGCGAAAGCCAGGGGAGCGAACGGG